AAAAAUUAUUUGAUUAAUUGAUUUGUGAUCGCUUCAGUGCCUUUUUAAAACUCAUUUGAAACGGCCGCAAGCUGCGUCAAGUUUCGGCUCCUCCCCUGAUCUGAGUCUGCAUGGAUUCAGCGCGUUUUUCAAUCCGCAGGGCGCCGAGCAGAGCGAACAUCAGAGAGUACAAGUAGUUUGUGUUGGUCCUGAUGGAAGUAACAGCUGCUGAAACUGCCACGUUCCUCCAGUGGACUUCUGAAGAAGGAAGAAAAGAAUAAGGAGGAUCUUGUGGAACGAUUUGAUAGACACUGAGUAGUUUGUGUUGGUCCUGAUGGAAGUAACAGCUGCUGAAACUGCCACGUUCCUCCAGUGGACUUCUGAAGAAGGAAGAAAAGAAUAAGGAGGAUCUUGUGGAAUGAUUUGAUAGACACUGAGGUGAGAAGAAAGAGGAUAGAGACAAUUACGAGUAAUUCACAGAACCUUUCAAAAAGUAAUUUUGUCAACUGUUGUAAAGAACAACUAUUAUUGUUCCAAACAUCAAUUAAAUUACUCUGAAAACAAUUUUGGCCUGCAUGGAAGAAAAUUAAAAAGCCAGGGAAACUAGCUAAAGCAGAGCAGGACGUGAAGAGAAAG
Long non-coding RNA from Cyprinus carpio carpio, 615 nucleotides. The record is from Ensembl. Lineage: Eukaryota; Metazoa; Chordata; Actinopteri; Cypriniformes; Cyprinidae.